ACGCUCGACACCUACGGGAGGCGGCAGUGGGGAAUAUUGCACAAUGGGGGAAACCCUGAUGCAGCGACGCCGCGUGAGCGAAGAAGUAUUUCGGUAUGUAAAGCUCUAUCAGCAGGGAAGAAACUGACGGUACCUGACUAAGAAGCACCGGCUAAAUACGUGCCGGCAGCCGCGGUAAUCUGAGCGGGCUGGCAAGGC
Molecule: ribosomal RNA, 198 nt
Filed under: uncultured bacterium
Lineage: Bacteria
Description: partial 16S ribosomal RNA
Rfam family: Bacterial small subunit ribosomal RNA
Source: RNAcentral